RNAcentral lists this transfer RNA (89 nucleotides) under Candidatus Hydrogenedentota bacterium. RNAcentral describes it as "tRNA-Ser". The record is from RNAcentral. Lineage: Bacteria; Pseudomonadati; Candidatus Hydrogenedentota.
GGACAGUCCCCUGCGGUAUACGCCGAUAAACCCCCAAAACUUGAAUGGCAUUCAAGAGGUCAGGAGUUCGAUCCUCCUCGGCUCCACCA